Molecule: non-coding RNA, 82 nt
Organism: Xylaria palmicola
Lineage: Eukaryota; Fungi; Ascomycota; Sordariomycetes; Xylariales; Xylariaceae
Source: the annotation of a GenBank genome assembly
GGCCGGUUGGCGUAAUGGCAACGCGUCAGUUUCCGGAGACGGAAUUUGCUGAAGAUUGCGGGUUCGAGUCCCGUGCUGGUCG